AACGAACGCUGGCGGCAUGCCUAACACAUGCAAGUCGAACGCGUGUAGCGAUACACGAGUGGCGGACGGGUGAGUAACGCGUGGGAACCUGCCCAAUGGUAGGGAAUAACUGCGGGAAACUGCAGCUAAUACCCUAUGCUCCCUACGGGGGAAAGAUUCAUCGCCAUUGGAGGGGCCCGCGUCGGAUUAGCUAGUUGGCGGGGUAAUGGCCCACCAAGGCUACGAUCCGUAGCUGGCUGAGAGGAUGAUCAGCCACACUGGGACUGAGAUACGGCCCAGACUCCUACGGGAGGCAGCAGUGGGGAAUAUUGGACAAGUGGGGGAAACCCUGAUCCAGCAAUGCCGCGUGAGUGAAGAAGGCCUUAGGGUUGUAAAGCUCUUUCGGCGGGACGAUGGUGACGGUACCCGCAGAAGAAGCCCCGGCUAACUUCGUGCCAGCAGCCG
Molecule: ribosomal RNA, 444 nt
Filed under: uncultured bacterium
Lineage: Bacteria
Description: bacterial SSU rRNA
Rfam family: Bacterial small subunit ribosomal RNA
Source: RNAcentral